Triticum dicoccoides is the source of this 3038-nucleotide long non-coding RNA. RefSeq lists it as uncharacterized. The record is from RefSeq and is a predicted model, not a curated record. The transcript is spliced from 13 exons. Lineage: Eukaryota; Viridiplantae; Streptophyta; Magnoliopsida; Poales; Poaceae.
CCCCUCUUGUCCUCGAACAGUCGAGCCCCACAUCCCACGCCUCGUCUCCUCCUCUCCCUCUCUCCGCCGCCACACCCCCUUCUCCUUCUCCUUCUCCACCAGCGCCGCCUCUCCUCCUCUUCUUCAUACGGAUCCGACCGGAUCCUUCCACGCGUGUGUCCGCUUCUCCUCGUCUCCUCGAACAGAAGGGUCACAGACGGGAGGUCAACAUCUGGGGUUCAGCCCCGAUGAAUAUGGGCUUGACCACGCCGCUGUUGGAGGGAAGACGGUCCGCCGGUGCUCGUGCCUCCACAACAGGCGUCUCUCCCCAUGACCUGUGCCCAAACUGGAUCCACAACCUAGGACAUGCCCUAGCAAGGGACUUGGAGAUGGCGUUGGAUGAGGAAAAUGAGAUCCGGACGAAAUCGGAGUGUAUUGGCAGCGGCUAGAGCGAUGUGGGUUUCUAUACGUAACCUUGCCUGUUUAGAUGACCUGGUUUGUUCUUGUGGUAAGAGAACUAGCAUCAAUUAGUACAGACUUUGCUGUUUAUGCAAGAACUUGUUAAGGUAAAUAUUCCAUAUUCUAUCCAUGUUUCGGAAGUAACAUUGUGCAAUAAUUUACUGUAAUACAUAUCUUCGGAUGAAUUGGUAGUCACACACCCACGACACUUUACCUUUGAAGAUUGUAUAUAUUUGUGAGUGUACAAGUAUAAUUAGUUAUAGGGGAGAAAGAUGUUGGUCUUUUCUCGAAGACCACAAAGGUUCAUGCCUUUUGGAAUUGAUUUUGAUUUAUUGUAUUGAUCAACUUUGCCAAGUCAUUUUGUGGUAUUUAGCAUUCCCAAAUUUUUAUAUUUAGCUAAAUUUAAUCUUGACCUGAUUUGCUCUGCCCAAUACACGCAUGAUGCCUUUUCUUUUCUAUCAACUGGAUGCAGGUUUAGUUUACCUUUUAGACUUUGUGUUAGAUUAGCCUUCCUGUAUAUACGUUCUUUGAUGGAUCAGCUGCGUUCGAUUGUAGGUAAUGUAUAUACUUUCUUUGAUGGAUCAGCUGCGUUAGAUUGUAGGUACUGCUGAGCACAAAGUUGUAUUUGGAUAUGAUAUUAGACUUACCAUCAUUUUUUUUGCUAAUUUUAAUCUGAUGCAAAAGAGUUCAGUAUAUUUAAAAUUUGGUUUCAUAUAGAAGCCCAUCAUUGGAAUCAGUAUACGUCUGCUGAUAAAUCCCUUUUGUAUGAUCAUGCUUUUUAGUAAUUGAUAUUCCAAUCAAUCUGUUGAUGCGGUGUUUGUCGGAGGCGAAGGGUAGCGACGGGUUCAUUCUGAGGUCGUCUUCCUCGAGAUACAUUCAUGCGUCACUUCAGUUCACCUUACCACAAAUGCUUAGCCCGCAGAUCUGCUCUCUCAUCUGAGUAUGUAUGCCUUGUAUCUUGCAGUUCUUCCUAAGCGAGUAUUAUUGCAGAUCCCAGAAGAAGACUAUCUUCUGCUUAUUUCCACCACCAUAAUACUUUCUUCAUUGGCAUGAUUACUGCUACAACCAAACUUAGAAUCAUGCUAGCAUUGCAGGAAAAUCUUCCUCAAAAGCUCAUUUGUAGCCCUCAAUCAACUCGCUGCAAUUGAGGCCGACGACACGGGGAAGGAGCUACAGGGGAAGGGGAGGCGGCCGACGACAGGGGGAAGGAGCAGGCCGGCUCGGAUGCAUGGUGUGAGGCAGUAAUAGCGGCAGUGGAUCGAGAGAAGUGGAGAAGAGGGUUCCUCCAAGCUCCAUCCAUGAAAUGGCGCCGGUCCAAUGCUCAGGGUGGCAUGCGGCAAUGUUGGGGACCAGCGAGGAAGAUGACCGGUGUACAUCCUUUGGAAUAAAGUUGAAGACAUGGUGAGUUUUGUGGCGCGAAGCCAACAACACGCAGCGGCAAGUCGAGCACACUGGCCUGAGCCGCAAUACACCAACACCAUCAGGAGUUCGAAUUAUUCUGUACCUCAAGAGAGAGGAACAGCGGACAUUGAGGAUUGCGGUGGCUGAUUUUUUAAUUUGUGUUUGCCUCAAGGAUUCUCAUUUAUCUUAACUUCCAUUUACUCAAGACAAUUACAACAUUGCUUCAUGACGAAGUAAAAUAAAAUCUUAUGACAGAAGAAACAUGCUUGGAUAGGCGUCCUUGUCGACCUCGCAGUCUCCAACCGAUCCUUAGGUACCAUCAGCUAUGACCCUAAUGGACCCCGAAUAAAAAGGAGAAAACAUUUGACACUUAUCAUGGCCAACCAUGAAACCGUGUUUCAGAAACUGCAUCAUAUCACAUAUUUCAACCAUCGUUUCCUGGUUUGUAAUAUGUACUAGCCUUCUGAAAAAGACUGAGGCUGCACUUGUUCCUGUCAGGUUGUCAUGUUACAAAAAGGCCUAUCUACAAAUAGGUGGACAAGAUAAAACAUUAAAAAUAGACUAGAGCAUUUUCCAUCUCCAUUGAUAAGAAAUAGUGGCAUGAUUGAAGGGCGAGACUACCAGCUGGUGAAGGAGAGGAUAUGUAUUCGGCGUGUCCUGAAGAGGUAGUCCACGAACCGGCAAUGGAGGAAAUAAGGUAGAUACGGCAAUAGCAGCAAGUACGUCAAGCGCUAGGGAUGUGGAUAUGGUGUGGCAUAAAGAGGUUGAUGUUCUUGCUCAGUAUAAGCCAAUAAUGGAGAAACUGAUCAAGCUAUCUUUCAUGAUCAAUUACACACCAAGCCUAUAUUUAUGCUACUUCUACAUGUUGCUGUGAUGGUCAUUCGGCCCAUUUUCUUGAACCUGCACUACGAUGAGAGAUCUGGGCUGCUUCUUUGUGGCUUCCAAACUUAAAAUGUUUGUUUGAAAGUUAGUUUAGUUUUUUGUUGUGGACUCACAUCUUCUCACAUGUACCGUCCUCUUAGACCUUUAGAUUUCCAAAGAAACUAACAGAAGAUAUGGUGGUAUGGUCUCAAUAGUACAACUUAAAGCCUUCCAUGCUUUAUAUUUUCUCUGAAUUUUGCUCUUGAAGAAUCAUGUAUCUAUGUUAGAUCCAGUGAGUAAAGGCGUCUUCCAAGCAGAGGAUGUGGGAGUGUUAGCCA